Molecule: ribosomal RNA, 499 nt
Filed under: uncultured bacterium
Lineage: Bacteria
Description: partial 16S ribosomal RNA
Rfam family: Bacterial small subunit ribosomal RNA
Source: RNAcentral
GACGAACGCUGGCGGCGUGCCUAAUACAUGCAAGUCGAGCGAAGUUUUUCUGGUGCUUGCACUAGAAAAACUUAGCGGCGAACGGGUGAGUAACACGUAAAGAACCUGCCUCAUAGACUGGGACAACUAUUGGAAACGAUAGCUAAUACCGGAUAACAGUAUUUCUCGCAUGAGAGAUAUUUAAAAGUUGGUUAUGCUAACACUAUGAGAUGGCUUUGCGGUGCAUUAGCUAGUUGGUGGGGUAAAGGCCCACCAAGGCGACGAUGCAUAGCCGACCUGAGAGGGUGAUCGGCCACACUGGGACUGAGACACGGCCCAGACUCCUACGGGAGGCAGCAGUAGGGAAUCUUCCGCAAUGGGUGAAAGCCUGACGGAGCAACGCCGCGUGAGUGAAGAAGGAUUUCGGUUCGUAAAGCUCUGUUGUUAGGGAAGAAUGGAUAUGUAGUAACUAUACAUGUAAGAGACGGUACCUAACCAGAAAGCCACGGCUAACUACGUG